Monodelphis domestica (gray short-tailed opossum) is the source of this 737-nucleotide long non-coding RNA. RefSeq lists it as uncharacterized. The record is from RefSeq and is a predicted model, not a curated record. Lineage: Eukaryota; Metazoa; Chordata; Mammalia; Didelphimorphia; Didelphidae.
UGAAAAACGUCUACUGUGAUUGGUAGAUAUAAGGACUUAGGAGAGGUGACAUAGGAGAAAAUGCCCUUUAAAUAGGAGCUCAGAUUCAUUCAGAUGGACAUUCAGAUUGAGGAUUGAGCUGGUGGAGGCAGCUGAGAUGAUGCUGGCCUGGUGUCACUAGAAUCCUUGCUUGGACAGAUCGUGUGAUUCUACAUCACCUAUUUGGGUCCUGGAGAGGUUCCUGAGACAACACCAUGGAACAGCUUCAAAACAAGAUAAAAAGGCUCUCCCUAAGGACUACACCCUAUCCACCCCCUCACCAGGCUCAUCAGACAAGGACAGCUGAUCCACCCACCUGGGGACAAGUGGAAGAACUUGUGGCAGUAUACCACAAAGAUCAAAGAUGAACUGAUCCCGCCCUAAUCUUUUUAGCAACGUCAGCAUUAUUAACUUGCCAGGUACCUUAUGCUCUGGAGAUGUUGAGUAUACCAGCCUACACCAAUAACACCUUUUGGGCUUAUCUCCCAGACCUUUCCCCCUUGCUCGCCUUGGUAUCACCAAUCACCAGCUGUGUAUACAAACUAUUCAUUAUUCCAACGUCUCCCUCUGGGAGACAGAACUCCUACUGUGCACCCCUAUAACUUAACUACACUCACUACGGAUUUCCCCAUAUGUUUAUCUUUUCGCAGACCAGUCACAGGAUGUAUAACUGUUACAACCACCUUAGUGCAAAAACUGAUACUACUUAUACUCAGAAA